GUGUGGUGAGAAGUGAGAACGCAAAAGUUAUACUCAGCUCGGAGGUUUUAAGGAUUGUAGAUUGAUGAGAAUAUGAUAGAAAGCCAUAACGGAUGUAUAUAUAUAUAUAUAUAUAUUUAUAUGUAUGUUUUGAAUCAUCUGUGAACAGGUAACAUAAUCUUAAGACAUGGGUUUUACUUUUCUUUCUUGUCGGAAAUCAGAAAAGGAACGGAAAGUCUGAGUACUACAAGAAGCAAGAGAAGCUGCUCGAGGGUUUCAAUGGGAUGGUGACUGAAACACCCGCCCCUUCCCCAUUUCCAACCGGAGUUCCUGGGCGCGGG
RNAcentral lists this long non-coding RNA (320 nucleotides) under Brassica napus (rape). RNAcentral describes it as "long non-coding RNA (BNAP_LNC019358)". The record is from RNAcentral. Lineage: Eukaryota; Viridiplantae; Streptophyta; Magnoliopsida; Brassicales; Brassicaceae.